GAUGAACGCUAGCGGUGCGCCUAACACAUGCAAGUCGAGCGCGUGUAGCAAUACACGAGCGGCGAACGGGUGAGUAACACGUUGGAACCUGCCCCGAACUCAGGGAUAACCCGCCGAAAGGCGGGCUAAUACCGGAUAGUCCCGUAAGGGUAAAGAUUUUUCGGUUCGGGAGGGGCCUGCGAAUUAUCAGCUAGUUGGUAAGGUAACGGCUUACCAAGGCUAUGACGAUUAGUUGGUCUGAGAGGAUGACCAGCCACAAUGGAACUGAGACACGGUCCAUACUCCUACGGGAGGCAGCAGUGAGGAAUCUUCCGCAAUGGGCGAAAGCCUGACGGAGCGACACCGCGUGAAGGAUGAAGGCCUUUUUGGUUGUAAACUUCUUUUCUGAGGGAAUAAAUGAUGAAGUUACCUCAGGAAUAAGCACCGGCU
This 429-nucleotide ribosomal RNA is filed under the name uncultured bacterium. RNAcentral describes it as "bacterial SSU rRNA". It matches the Rfam family "Bacterial small subunit ribosomal RNA", at positions 28 to 498 of the family's 1533-position model. The record is from RNAcentral.